RNAcentral lists this non-coding RNA (325 nucleotides) under Medicago truncatula (barrel medic). RNAcentral describes it as "Eukaryotic large subunit ribosomal RNA". It matches the Rfam family "Eukaryotic large subunit ribosomal RNA", at positions 24 to 346 of the family's 3401-position model. Lineage: Eukaryota; Viridiplantae; Streptophyta; Magnoliopsida; Fabales; Fabaceae. The record is from Rfam by way of RNAcentral.
CCCGCUGAAUUUAAGCAUAUCCAUAAGCGGAGGAAUAGAAACUAACAAGGAUUCCCUUAGUAACGGCGAGCGAACCGGGAUAAGCCUCACAAUGAGAAUCGGUCGCCCUUGGCGUUCGAAUUGUAGUCUGGAGAAGCGUCCUCAGCGGCGCACCGGGCCCAAGUCCCUUGGAAAGGGGCGUCGGAGAGGGUGAGAGCCCCGUUGUGCUCGGACCCUGUCGCACCACGAGGCUCUGUCGGCGAGUCGGGUUGUUUAGGAAUGCAGCCCCAAUCGGGCGGUAAAUUCCGUCCAAGGCUAAAUAUUGGCGAGAGCCCGAUAGCUGUAA